RNAcentral lists this ribosomal RNA (449 nucleotides) under uncultured bacterium. Its description in RNAcentral is "partial 16S ribosomal RNA". It matches the Rfam family "Bacterial small subunit ribosomal RNA", at positions 29 to 523 of the family's 1533-position model. The record is from RNAcentral.
AACGAACGCUGGCGGCAUGCCUAACACAUGCAAGUCGAACGAGAUCUUCGGGUCUAGUGGCGCACGGGUGCGUAACGCGUGGGAAUCUGCCCUUUGGUUCGGAAUAACAGUUGGAAACGACUGCUAAUACCGGAUGAUGACGAAAGUCCAAAGAUUUAUCGCCAGAGGAUGAGCCCGCGUAGGAUUAGCUAGUUGGUGUGGUAAAGGCGCACCAAGGCGACGAUCCUUAGCUGGUCUGAGAGGAUGAUCAGCCACACUGGGACUGAGACACGGCCCAGACUCCUACGGGAGGCAGCAGUGGGGAAUAUUGGACAAUGGGCGAAAGCCUGAUCCAGCAAUGCCGCGUGAGUGAUGAAGGCCUUAGGGUUGUAAAGCUCUUUUACCCGGGAUGAUAAUGACAGUACCGGGAGAAUAAGCUCCGGCUAACUCCGUGCCGGCAGCCGCCGCAG